GGAGUUAGCCGGUCCUUCUUCUGUUGCUAACGUCACAGCUAACGGGUAUUAACCGUUAACCUUUCCUCACAACUGAAAGUGCUUUACAACCCGAAGGCCUUCUUCACACACGCGGCAUGGCUGCAUCAGGGUUUCCCCCAUUGUGCAAUAUUCCCCACUGCUGCCUCCCGUAGGAGUCUGGACCGUGUCUCAGUUCCAGUGUGGCUGAUCUUCCUCUCAGAACAGCUAGAGAUCGUCGCCUUGGUGAGCCUUUACCUCACCAACAAGCUAAUCUCGCUUAGGCUACUCUUUGCGCGGGAGCCGAAGCCCCCUUUGGUCCGAAGACGUUAUGCGGUAUUAGCUAUCGUUUCCAAUAGUUAUCCCCCACACAAAGGCAUAUUCCUAAGUAUUACUCACCCGUCCGCCACUCGUCAUCUUCUAGCAAGCUAGAAAUGUUACCGUUCGACUUGCAUGUGUUAGGCCUGCCGCCAGCGUUCAAUCUGAGCCAUGAUCAAACUCUACUGG
This 504-nucleotide ribosomal RNA is filed under the name Pseudoalteromonas sp. I-137-9. RNAcentral describes it as "partial 16S ribosomal RNA". The record is from RNAcentral. Lineage: Bacteria; Pseudomonadati; Pseudomonadota; Gammaproteobacteria; Alteromonadales; Pseudoalteromonadaceae.